GUCGUGAGACUUGGGCGAGAGGAAGGGAUAGCGAAAUCGUGGCUUGACGAAUAGAAAUCGGAUAUGAGGCGUACAAGGCGGGUAAGUUGGCUAUAGGCAACAAAGCCCAAAAGAUGACCGUAACCCUUGUGCGUAAAUCCGGCAAGUAAACGAGGAAAGAC
Molecule: non-coding RNA, 161 nt
Filed under: bovine gut metagenome
Source: RNAcentral